AUGUUCAUGAAUUGCCGAUUAUUUUCAACUAACCACAUAGGCACUGCCUUAAGCCUCCUAAUUCAAGCAGUACCUAGCCAGCCAGGAACUCUGCUAGGAGAUGAUCAAAUCUAUAAUGUUAUUGUUACCGCCCACGCAUUUGUUAUCGUCUUCUUUAUAGUUAUACCAAUCAUAAUUGGAAGUUUCGGCAACUGGCUAGUUCCCUUGAUAGUGGGUGUGCCCGAUAUGGUGUUUCUCCGAAUAAAUAACAUGAGUUUCUGACUUCUCACCCGAUCCUUUCUACUUCUGCUUGCAUCCUCAAUGGUAGAGGCAGGCACCGGAACUGGCUGAGCAGUUUAUCCCCCUUUAGCAGGGAACCUAGAGCAUGCAGGAGCCUCCGUGGACUUGACCAUCUUCUCGCUCCACCUGGCAGAUGUCUCUUCUAUCUUAGGGGCCAUCAACUUUAUUAUCACAAUCAUCAACAUAAACCCCCCAGCAAUAUCCCAAUAUCAGACACCUCCUUUCGUUUGAUCCGUCCUCAUUACGGUAGUCCUUCUACUACUAUCCCUCCAUCCCUCCCAGUCCUAGCCACCAGCAUUACUAUAUUAUUAACUGAUCUCAACCUCAACACUUCUUUUUUUUUUUUUGAGACAGAGUCUCACUCUAUCGCCCAGGCUGGAGUGCAGUGGCAGCGAUCUCGGCUCACUGCAACCUCCGUCUCCUGGGUUCAAGUGAUUCUCCUGCCUCAGCAUCCUGAGUAGCUGGGGCUACAGGCGCCUGCCACCAUGCCUGGCUAAUUUUUUGCAUUUUUAGUAGAGAUGGGGUUUCACCGUGUUAGCCAGGACGGUCUCGAUCUCCUGACCUCGUGAUACGCCUGCCUCGGCCUCCCAAAGUGCUGGGAUUACAGGCAUGAGCCACUGUGCCAGGCCAACACUUCUUUUUUUGAUGCUGCUGGCAGGGGUGACCUUAUCUUGUACCAACAUUUAUUCUGAUUUUUUGGUCACCCUGAGGUCUAUAUCCUCAUCCUACCAGGGUUCGGGAUAAUUUCCCACGUUGUAACAUAUUAUUCUGGAAAAAAGGAGCCAUUUGGUUACAUGGACAGAGUAUGAGCCAUAAUAUCAAUUGACUUCUUAGGGUUUAUCAUAUGAGCCCACCAUAUAUUUACAGUGGGAAUAGAUAUAGACACACGGGCAUACUUCACAUCUGCUACUAUAAUUAUUGCUAUCCCAACUGGCGUUAAAGUAUUUAGCUGACUAGCUACCCUGCAUGGUGGUAACAUCAAAUGAUCCCCCACAAUACUCUGAGCCCUAGGGCUUAUUUUCCUCUUCACAGUAGGAGGAUUGACCAGCAUCGUAUUAGCUAACUCAUCACUAGAUAUUGACUUACACAACACAUAUUACGUUGUAGCCCACUUCCACUAUGUCUUAUCCAUAGGAGCAGUGUUUGCCAUUAUAGGCAGCUUAGUCCUCAGAUUCCCCCUAUUUUCAGGCUAUACACUCAAUCCAGCCUAAGCCAAAAUCCACUUCACUAUUAUAUUUACAGGUGUUAAUUUAACUUUCUUCCCACAAGUUUUCUUUGGCCUCUCCGGUAUACCUCGAUGUUACUCUGACAAUCCUGAUGCAAUAUCUGCAUGAAAUAUUACCUUGUCUCUAGGCUCAUUUAUCUCACUAACAGCAGUCAUGUUAAUAAUUUUUAUAAUCUGAGAGGCCUUUGCUUCAAAACGAGAAGUAUUAAUAAUUGAACAACCAUCUACUAACCUAGAGUGACUUUACAGCUGCCCGCCAACUUAUCACACAUUUGAGGAACCAGCUUAUGUGAAA
RNAcentral lists this long non-coding RNA (1799 nucleotides) under Homo sapiens (human). RNAcentral describes it as "non-protein coding lnc-SBDS-26:1". The record is from RNAcentral. Lineage: Eukaryota; Metazoa; Chordata; Mammalia; Primates; Hominidae.